RNAcentral lists this ribosomal RNA (253 nucleotides) under uncultured bacterium. Its description in RNAcentral is "partial 16S ribosomal RNA". It matches the Rfam family "Bacterial small subunit ribosomal RNA", at positions 524 to 776 of the family's 1533-position model. The record is from RNAcentral.
UACGUAGGGUGCGAGCGUUAAUCGGAAUUACUGGGCGUAAAGCGUGCGCAGGCGGUUCGUUGUGUCCGUCGUGAAAGCCCCGGGCUUAACCUGGGAACUGCGAUGGAAACUAGCGAGCUGGAGUGUGGCAGAGGGGGGUGGAAUUCCGCGUGUAGCAGUGAAAUGCGUAGAGAUGCGGAGGAACACCGAUGGCGAAGGCAGCCCCCUGGGCUAACACUGACGCUCAGGCACGGAAGCGUGGGGAGCAAACAGG